CUGGCUUGGAAGGGGCUGCACCUCCUGCUACCUUCUGUGGCUUCUUCUUAACUGCAGACUUAGAUGUCUUCUCUUCCUCCUCCUCACUGCUGGAGCUGUCUGAAUCAGAGCUGCUGUCCCUACUACCCUGAGGAGCCUGCUUGGCAGGCAGAGAUAGAGCUGCUUUGGCAGUCGCCUUGGGCUUAGUGGUGGCCACCAUCUUCUUUGUCUUCUCCUCCUCACUGGAGCUGCUCUCUUCCUCACUGGAGCUGCUGUCAGCCUUUCUCGUCAGAAGCUUCUGGCCACCGCCCACAGGUUGCUUGGGGGCUGCAGCUGGCUUCACUGCAGGUGACUUGGUGGUGACAGCUGGCUUAUUUGAAGAAUUCUUGGUGGUACCAGCUGGCUUAGAAG
This 390-nucleotide unclassified non-coding RNA is filed under the name Hevea brasiliensis (rubber tree). The record is from RNAcentral. Lineage: Eukaryota; Viridiplantae; Streptophyta; Magnoliopsida; Malpighiales; Euphorbiaceae.